Molecule: long non-coding RNA, 331 nt
Filed under: Capsella rubella
Lineage: Eukaryota; Viridiplantae; Streptophyta; Magnoliopsida; Brassicales; Brassicaceae
Description: long non-coding RNA (CRUB_LNC001811)
Source: RNAcentral
GGAGAUAUUUAUUUUUGUUUUGUUUUGCCUAUGUAAAAUAAUUUUGUUUUUGUUUUGUUAUUUGUAGUUGCAAUCUAAGCUGGCCAAUAGAUGUAUGACAACUCCUCUCGGUAAAUGCUUCUGAUAUGCUUUUUUUUUUUUUUUUUUAAUUUAUAAACUUAGGUCAGAUAAAAAUCCGUUUAGUAACGUAUAUGGCUUAUCCAUUCGAUAACGAGCAUUGUAUUUUGUUUUAUGCUGAUCAUUUAUGUUAUUAUCAUAUAAAAUUGAUAUGCGAUUAAGACUAACCAAUAUGCACGUGUCGAUAUAUGAAGGGAAAAGUGUAACAUUUAAU